CUUCUCUUCACGUCUUGAGGACCUCAGUCCGUCAUGCCUGCUCUGGGGUGUGGUCUCAUUCCUCUCUCGCCUGGCUUGGUUCUCCUCAAGGCUCAGCAGCCAUCCUCUCAGCCACUCUUGCUCCUUCCUUCCACAAGUUUCUAUCAAACUUUCUGUGUCUGUCUGUACCUUGACAGCGCUUCUACGUGCUGGAAAACAGACUGCGAAGAAAACAUUCCUGCCUUCACGAAGGGUGCUUUCUCUGGGGAGAGAAAGACACUAAGCGGCUGUGUGGGAGGCGGUGACACGUGCUGUGGAAACGAUAGAGCAGAGCGUGGAGAGGGCUGGGGUGCUGUUAGAGAAGGAUGCUCGGGGAGAACGUCUCUGAUCAGGUCACAUUUGAGUAGAGACGUGAAGAAAGCUAAGGAUGAACCCUGAAGAUAUUUGGGGAAGAAUGUUCUAGGAAGAGGGCCUGGUAAGUGCGGUGGCCCUGAGAUGGGACCCCUCGGCGUGCUCGAGGAACAUGAGUGAGGCCAGCGUAGCUGGUGCAGAGUGACCAAGGGCCUGGAGUAGGAGAUGAGGUCAGAAGGGCAGCAAAGGGACAGAUCACAGAGUUUUACAGGCCAUUGUAAGGACUUAGACUUUUACUCUAAGAAAGGGAGGAAGACCCUGGGGGAUGUUCAAUAGGGAAGUGACACGAUCUUAUAUUUGCUGAAGGCCCCUCUGGCUGCUGUGUUGAGAACAGACUGAAGGGGCCACGGUGGAAGCUGGGAGACAAGCUGGGAGGCUCCCGCAGAAAUCAGGUGGGAGAUAGACCGGGGUGGCUGUGGCGAAGGUGGUGACAAGCGGCCCAGUUUAGGAUGUAUUUUGAAGGUAGACUUAUCAGGAUUUGCUGAUGGAUGGGCUAUGGGUGUGAGAAAAAGGAACAUCGUGUCAAGGACAAGUAAGACUUGGGCCAGGGCAACUGUAAAGACGGAGUUCCGGCCUCUGAAGAAGAAAAGCAAGCUCCCUUUUUGGCCGGAGGGGGCAAGGGGAGAGGAAUUUCACUUCACUCGUGUUCACACGGCGGUGCCCACUGAUGCUCAAGGGGUGAGUUUAAGAGGCAGUUGGGUACUUGAGUCUGGGGUUCAGGAAAGAGGUUUAAGCUGAGUUCCAGUGUGGGACUUGCCGCCUGCUGGAUGGCAUUUAAAGCCAUGAUCAUUACGGAGAGGGUAGUGGGAGAGGAGAGGUUCCGGGAGUGACCCCUGGGCCUGCUCCAGUGUCGCAGGUUUGGGAGAAGAAUAGCCACCAGGGGAGACUGAGACGGAGUGGCCGGGGAGACGGAGAAAAACCAGGAGACCACGGGGUGAAGAAACGCCCGGAGCCAGAGGGAUGAAUGUGGUCAAAGCUGCUAUUCAAGUGAGGCGGGGCUGAGCGAAGGCUUCCACGGAGGCAGCAGAGUCCCGGUUUUCACUCACGACCAGCUUUGCGAGGCUCUGCCUGAGAGAGGUGGCCCCGCGCACGUCAGCUGUGGACGAGGGGGACACGUGCUCCAGCAUGGCCAUCCCGCUCCACCUUCUGCAUUCAUCGCAGGGGACGAGGGCUCAGUGCAGGCUGCAGCUGUCCCGGCAUCUCCUGAGCUCUGCCCUCCCUCUGGAUCCCCACUCCCUCAGGGCGGAGGCGGACAGCAGGCUGAAGGGAGAACUUCAGUCAGUGGGAAACUUCAUGGAGCAACAGCUGGCUGCCAGCUGUCCUCGCCUUGUCACAGUUCUGAUUACACCUUGCAGGUGAAGAAGAUGAGGCUCAGAGAAGUUAAGUACCACCCAAGGCCCCAAAGCUAGUAAGUCGCAAGCCAGAAGCUUCAGUGUACACUGACCUGAGGUAGAAAAUGCUGACAUCUUUGUUCCUUUGGGUCCAGAACUCCAAAAGAGAUAAGCCCCCAGACCUUUGGUGGUGGCGGUGCAAACGCGCCUCUCAGAUUUCAGACUGGUCCCCGCUACUGUGCCCGGAUCAUGGCCAUCACUGUUUGCACUGAGGCCCUCAGGCUGCUUCCAGCCAUUGACUCCGGCAGGUCCCCUCUUGGAGAUGCAAGACCCCCCCCGACAGACAAGUUGGCACAAGGAUUCCCCAAGGGCUUGCUACUUUCUUAGAUCUGAACCACAACCUGAGACUCUUCACCCCACCUUCUGUCCUGCCCUCUCUCCUCCGCAGGGUCCAAACUACGUCACAGUCUGACGUCCCUCCCAACUUCCCCCUGGCUCCCCGCCCAUCUUCCCUCACAGGUGUCCCCCAUAAAUCUCUUGCACAUAGAGUCCUGUCUUGGUGUCUGCUUCUUCAAGGACCAGAACGAAUGUAAGUAGUCUGAGGAAACAGUGGUAAGAUGGGGAUUUGGGGCUGUCCCACUCAGAGGCAAUGGGGAGGAAGAUGUUGUCCUGAUUGAUAGGAGGCCCCCAGAGAGUCCUUAGAACAAGGCAGCAGCUCAAAUGCUAAACAUUUCACCAGCGAGGACCUGGGAAAAUUUCCUGGAGGAGAGGAGUGCUGGCAGGUGUGAUAAUUCAAGCAUUUGAAAAAUAGAGGGGCAAAGAUGCCUUCAAAAAAUUGGCUGGUUACUGCAGAGGGAAGAAGGACUGCGGGCCACUAAUGAGCAGUGGAGGGGUAGGCGUGGAGGCCGAGAGCCCUGCGGUGGCUUACAAAGAGGCCCUUAUCUCUGGCAGUGGAGGGCAGAUACGGCUGAGUGGCGGGCUGAAGACAAACCGUUAGCGUUGCAGAGCGCCAGAUAAGUCUGAAGGCUCAGCCAAGGCGGUUAUGAGAAGAUCGGGCCCUGGUGGGGAAAAUCUGGACCCCUGACCCAUGAGAUAAAGACAUCUGGAUGGAUGCCCUGAGGCCGCCGCGCAGCCUCCCUGACCCUCUGAGCUUGCAGAGGUGGCCCGCCCUUCUGCAGAAGAGCUACCCCUCUGCAGUGCUGAAAGAUUCCCAAGAGGCCUCGCCCCGGCAGGGGCCCUCUCAGUGGCUGCCCCACUGCCUCUCCUGGGUGCCAGGGACAAGCAUUAGGGUUGAAUUCCAGAAUAAUCUGGCUGCAGACAUGCUGGGCCUGAUAAGGGAGGAAAGAGACUAUAUCAUGAAAGAAUGGUAACUCUCAUGGAUCCUGGAACAAACCAGGGAUGCUCCUGGGACUGGAUUUUGCGAAUGCCUGAUUAAGGAGGCUGGAAUGUAAGACUGGCUAACAAGAAUCCAUCGGCUGGAGGGCACUUUCUUGAGACGCAAGAUUUAAUAUCCUAGCGAGGAUACCAGGGGAUGGGGCAGACUCUGCUAGGGUGGCUCUUAGAAGUCUGGAAAAAGUAGUGGCUAACACUCAGUGCAGUGGAAAUACCUGAGUUCUCCUGGCAGAUGGUAGAGAAGAAGUUAAAAAAGCUGAGGAAAGUGGACACGUUGGAACGGAUUUGUUAUCUAAGGCCAGUAAUGACAGGCAAGGACAGAGGGGCAGGCAAGGGGGCUUGACCCACAGAAAGCUGUGGAGAUGGUGAAUGGAGCAGGGUAUCCCCAGGAGCAAACCAGAGGGGCAGCCAAGAAGCCUCUGCUUAAUAUCUACAGCCAGAAAAGCAGACAGGAGUGGGGGAGCAGAAGGCAGGGGCAAUAGGAGGUCACCGUCCCUUGCUCAGUUCCCAGACCUGAACCAAUUUUCAGAUAUGAAACCCGCUGACCGAAGAGGUGGCCAGAUCUCUAGGAAUAGGACCCUGCCAAACCUCAAGUAUGUAUCAUGAUGAUUCCUUCAGGAUUCUUCCAAAGGCCUGUGGCCAUUUGUUUGGGUGAUUGUUCACUAGAGAAAGGGGAAUAACAAGACAUUUGAGGACUAGUAGACACAGAGUUUGAGUUGACGUUAACACCUGGAGACUCAAAGCAUCAUCGUGGGCCCCUUUUCAGAGCCAGGCCAUGGUGGUCAGGCAGUAAGUGGAGUCCUGGCUAAAGUCUGGAUUGCAGUGGGCCUGCUGGGUCCACGAACCCACCCAGAAGCCCCUUGUCCCUGAGAGUGUCAUUAGAAUUCACAUGCUUUGACAGUUGGAGUAACCCCUACCUCAGUCCUGGUCUACUGGGUGGGAGCUAUUAGAGCCAAGAAGGCCAAGUAGAAACUUCUGAAACUGCCGUGCCCCUUCUCCUCGCCCUGCCCGAGAUAGUAAACCAAAAAUAACAUCUCAUCCUAGGGGCUGUGGUAGAAAUUAAUUCCACGACUAACAACUAAGGAUGAAGGAGUGUGGUCCCUACCAUUGAUUUCUUCAUUUAACUCACCAGUCUGACCUCUGCAGAAAUUGGACGGAUCCUGGAGGAAGACCGCAGACCGCCACGGCUUAACCAAGGGGGAGCCCUGCUCGCAGCUGCUGUGCCUGACGUGGAGUCCUUGCCGGAGCAGGUUCACGAGGCCUUAGGUAUGUGGCCAGCAGUAAUUCAGUGCCUGUGGUCUUUUCCAUUCCAAUUAGAAAAGAGGAUCAGAAACAGUUCACAUUCACAUGGGAUGGACAACAAUAUUCAUUUACACUUUUGCCUCGGGGCUAUGUUAACUGUCUCUCUGACUUAAUAUAAUCCCAAGAGAUCAGGACCAUGAUCCCACAGAACAUCACCCUGAUCCAUUGCAUCGCUGCGCCAUGCUGGUUAGACAGGAUGAGCAAGAGGUGUCCCUAUGCUGGAAGCCGCGGCUAAGUCACAUGCACUCCAGAGUGCGGCAUAUAAAACCUAUGACGAUUCAAAGACCUACCACUUCAAUGAAGUUUUGAAGGGGUUCAGUGGUCAGGGGGAUGCCAAGAUAUCCCCUCCCAAGUAAACGAAAUGGCUGCAUUUUGUAUUUCUUACCACAAGAAAGCACAAUGCCUGGUAACCCUCUUGGGGUUAGAGACAACCCAUUAUUCUGGGUGACAAGGAAGGCUGCCAGCUGUAGGUGGGCCCCAGGACGGGAAGAGGCUCUGCUGAAGGUUUAGGCUGCAGUGCAAGCAGUCCUGCCAUUUGGGUUAUGCUGUUUGGCAGACUCUCUGGUGCUGGAAUAGUCAAUAGUGGGAGAGGGAAAAGGUGUAGUUGGAGCUUAUGUCAAGUCCCAGUGGGAGAAGUGUAGAGCAGGACCCUGGGAUUCCAUGGCAAGGCCACACCAUCGGCAACAGAGGGCUGCAUGCCUUUUGAGAAACUGUUUCUGGCAUGUUACUGGGGUCUGGUAGAGACAGAACACUCGCCCAGGGCACACCAAGUGGGACAUCUGAAACUGCCCUCUGAGCUGGGUUCUGUUGGAUGCAUCAAGUCAUAAAGUCAGAUGGGGCUGACAGCAGUCCGUCAUAAGACAGAAAUGCUGCCUCUGGGACUGAGCCAGACUGAGGCAGAGGGCAUGAGUAAACUGCAUGAGGACAUAGCCAGAGCCCAUUCUCUGGCUUGUACUUAUGGUCGCAUGGAGGGUUCUGUACAACCAACUGAAAGAGGAGGAAAAAGCCUGAGCUUGGUUUAUGGAUGGGUCAAAGUGGCACAUGGGUACAAGCUGAAGAUGGACAGUGGCUGUAUGACAGGUGUAAGGGAAAGGGAAAAUAUUCUUCCUGGAUAGAGCUGUGAGCAGAGUGCUUGCUCACCUACCUUGUUGCACAAGAAAAAGUGGCCCAAGGUGGUGAGAAUAUAUACACCCUCUUGGGCAGUGGCCAAUGGUCUGGCCAUUUGUUCAGGGGCCUGGAAGGAAAAGGACUGGCAGAUUGGGGACAAGGAGGUGUGAGGUAGAGGCAUGUGGAUGGAUGCAGGAGAUAAAGCAUGAAGCGUGAGGGUUGCAGUACCACACACUAAUGCCCAUUAGAAAGCACUCGAAACAGAAGCAGCAGUGAAUAAGCAAGGAAAGAAAAUGUCUUGGACAGUUGACACAAGCCAGUCCUUGUCAUUGGCUACUCUGGAACUGGCAUGAUGGGCAUAUGAGUGGAAUGGCCACAGUGGCAGAGGCAGAAGCCACAGAGGGGCUAACAUGGGCCCAGCAGCACGGACUCCCUAGGAACUGCUGCCUCUGAAUGUCCAACCCAUCAGCAAAAGAGACCAGUGCUGAGCCCCUGCAGUGGCACUGUGUCUCAAGGAGCCCAACUCACCGCUUGAAGGCAAGUCAACUGCAUCAGGCUCCUUCCAUCCCGAAGCGUCAGCGGUUCACCCUCUUUGGGAAAGAGAUCUAUUAUGGGUUUGCCUUUCCUGACCACAGAGCCUCAGUCAGCACUGCUGUCCAGGGACUUACAGAACGCCUGAUCUGAAGGCAUGGAAUUCCACCCAGUACAGCAUUUGACCAGGGACACUGGAGGGUCCCACUGGACUAGACUAUGGCUGCCACCAGGGCACUUUGGAUUCCUUAUGUCCAGGGACCAGCCGGGGGACUUGACCCUGAUCAGCAGGAUUCAGGGCUGCUACUCCAUAAUGGGGACAGGAAGGAAUGUGUGCACCCAGGUGAUCCACUGAGCACUCCCAGAUGAUCCCCACUGUCAUCAUGAAAGGACAUGCGCAGCAACCCUGACCUGAGAAGGGUUUGAUUACCAAGCCUUGAGGUCCCCUUUCCCCCUUCCCCGGAAUGAAGGCUGGGGUCACACCACCAGGAACAGCCCAAGGGAAACAGGCAAGAGCUGCCCUCUGUAUCUGGUGGAGAAGCAGCACCGUGUGGCACAAGGGUGGACUGUGACAACCAUGAAGACUUCUCUCGGUUCUCUGGCUGCAGGGAUUGGAAGUGGCCGCCAGCGCCAGCUGCUGUAUCCUGAAAUCUAUUACUGAGUUUGCACUAAGAAUGCACUUCCUACGAGCUGCUGCCUGCCAGUGACUGAGCGUGGCGGGGAUCCUGGCAGGCCGUCCUCAGGAGAUUGCCGAUGGCUUGAGGACUUCUCACCUGCCUUGCCGAGCCUCAUUAGACCUGCCCUGCAGUCUAAGUCUCCUCCGCCCACCUCUCCUUCCUUCUCUCUUUCACAAGGUCACACCCGCACCAUGGUCUCCUGGCUCUCCCAGGCUCCCCUGCUUCCCUUCCAUUACAAUUUGAGAAGCACUGAUUUAGAUGAUUUUGUGUUUAAAUCCUUUAAAUCUCAGUUUGGAACCUGAGUCUUUGCAAAGGUAAACAGUUGGAAUCACAAAACCAUCUGGGUCCUUCAUUUUGUAGGUCAAAGCCCAGCAAAGUUAAGGCACUAGUUCAAAGUCACAUGGCGAACUAGAAUAGAGCCAGCACCCAGGGGUCUUACCCGCCAGCUCUUCCCACUGUAGGCUCUUCUGUGAGCAGGCUGCUUGCUCUAAAUGUGCAUUGUCUACUGUGGUAGCACCGGAAAUGUGGCUAGUUGUGGUGUAAUAAAAAAACACUUGGUCUUUGUCCUGGGUUCCUGGCCUGGAGUCCCUCAAACCCUUAGAAUCUCCUGGGUGAUGGCGUGUCUCUCGUUAUUCACAAGGAGCGCCUCUGACCACACCUGUGUUUAUGCGAACGAAGUGACUCACGGUGGGGCCCUAGAUAGCUUCAGGAUGGGCGCUGGUCAUUGGAAAGACCAAACAUGUGCAUGGAGGGUGGGAACUUGCAGCUUCAGGGGAGGCGGUGGGGGCUGGAGAAUGAGUUAUAAAAACUCUUGAACAAGAUUCAAAGAGCCCCCGGUUGGUGACCACAUUGAGACGCCGGGAGGGUGGAGGCCCCGGGAGGCAUGGAAGGUCUGCCCUCCCCCUUCUCCCACAGCCCUACGCCUCCUUCCCACGUGGCUGCUGCGGAGUGGUACCUUCAAAAUAAACUGAUAAACAAGUAAAGUGUUCUCUUGAGUUCUGUGAGCUCUUCUAAUCAUUGAACCUGAGGAGGGGGUUAUGGGAACCUCCCAAUUUAUAGCUGGUCAGUCGUAAGUAUAGGUGACCCCUGGGACUUGCACCUGGCAUCUAAAGUGGGGGCAGUCUUGUGGGAUGGAGUCCUAAACUGUGGAGCCAGCACUAACUCUGGGGAGUUCGCAUCAGAAUUGAAUGAAAUUGUUGGAUGCGCAGUUGGUGCUGGAGAAUUGGUGUGGAAAAAUGACAUGCAUUUGCUAUGAGAAGUGGUGUCAGGAAAAAGAUGACACACUAGUCCAAACAGAGAUGUGCUGUAAGUGUAAAACACACCCUGGAUUUUGAGGACUCGGUAUGAACAAAGAUUAUAAAAUAUUUCAUUAAUAAUUUUUUGUAUUGAUUUCAUGUUGAAAUAAUAAUUUUGAUGUAUUGGGUUAUAUAAAAUAUAUUAUUAAAAAUAAGAUAAAAUAUGUAAUUAAAAUGAACUUCAGGG
Long non-coding RNA from Equus caballus (horse), 8212 nucleotides. The record is from Ensembl. NCBI's taxonomy places the organism in Eukaryota, Metazoa, Chordata, Mammalia, Perissodactyla, Equidae.